UUGAAUCCUAUGGUAGUAGAAUGACCUGCUAACACGUAAGAACAUCGGGUAAGUGUCAAGGGGCCUAGUGUCCUUUGUUUGCGAACCCAAGGUAGGUGUUAACUGAUGGUUGUCCACCUGCCAACAAAAUCAAUUGGGCGCUGAUUGCGCCAAGGAAACUGAUAACGAAUUGUUUGUCUACUUCUCUUUCACGGGAAGUGGCUUCAGUCCGAAACAC
Molecule: ribosomal RNA, 217 nt
Filed under: Elaeoselinum leucotrichum
Lineage: Eukaryota; Viridiplantae; Streptophyta; Magnoliopsida; Apiales; Apiaceae
Description: Ammodaucus leucotrichus internal transcribed spacer 1
Source: RNAcentral